This 440-nucleotide ribosomal RNA is filed under the name uncultured bacterium. RNAcentral describes it as "partial 16S ribosomal RNA". It matches the Rfam family "Bacterial small subunit ribosomal RNA", at positions 338 to 795 of the family's 1533-position model. The record is from RNAcentral.
CCUACGGGAGGCUGCAGUAGGGAAUAUUGCUCAAUGGGGGAAACCCUGAAGCAGCAACGCCGCGUGGAGGAUGAAGGUUUUAGGAUUGUACACUCCUUUUGUUAGAGAAGAUAAUGACGGUAUCUAACGAAUAAGCACCGGCUAACUCCGUGCCAGCAGCCGCGGUAAUACGGAGGGUGCAAGCGUUACUCGGAAUCACUGGGCGUAAAGAGGGCGUAGGCGGGAUAGCAAGUCAGAUGUGAAAUCCUAUGGCUUAACCAUAGAACGGCAUUUGAAACUGUUAUUCUAGAGUAUGGGAGAGGUAGGUGGAAUUCUUGGUGUAGGGGUAAAAUCCGUAGAGAUCAAGAGGAAUACUCAUUGCGAAGGCGACCUGCUAGAACAUAACUGACGCUGAUGCGCGAAAGCGUGGGGAGCAAACAGGAUUAGAUACCCCUGUAGUC